Molecule: ribosomal RNA, 499 nt
Filed under: uncultured bacterium
Lineage: Bacteria
Description: bacterial SSU rRNA
Rfam family: Bacterial small subunit ribosomal RNA
Source: RNAcentral
AGAGUUUGAUCAUGGCUCAGGAUAAACGCUGGCGGCGUGCCUAAUGCAUGCAAGUCGCACGGAGUCAUCCUUCGGGGUGAUUGAGUGGCGAACGGGUGAGGAACGCGUGGACAACCUACCCCGGCGCGGGGGAUACCCGCCAGAAAUGGCGGCUAAUACCGCGUACGGUUGCCGGACGAGAGGUCUGGCAAAGAAAGCAGAGAUGCGCGCUGGGAGGGGUCUGCGACCGAUUAGCCAGCUGGUGGGGUAACGGCCUACCAGGGCGAUGAUCGGUAGCUGGUCUGAGAGGAUGAUCAGCCACACGGGGACUGAGAGACGGCCCCGACUCCUACGGGAGGCAGCAGCAAGGAAUUUUCCGCAAUGGGGGCAACCCUGACGGAGCAACGCCGCGUGACGGAUGACGCCUCUUGGGGUGUAAACGUCUUUUGCCGAGGGAGGGAAUGGACGGUACUCGGCGAAUCAGGACCGGCUAACUACGUGCCAGCCGCCGCGGUAAUAC